AAGUCGUAACAAGGUUUCCGUAGGUGAACCUGCGGAAGGAUCAUUAACACGUAUCCACGUAUCAACCAACCGCGAACUCGUUUUCAAGUCUCCCUUUGGGGCACAUGAAUUGGUAACUGACACAGGGUAGUGAGUGGGGCUUUCGGGCCAGCUCUGUGACAGCCACUGAGGUGAUGAAUAAUCACUUCGACAAUUGGAGUGUUCUGGAGGCAAACCUUUCUGUUACCUUCAUCUCCAUUCAUGAUCGAGGUAAUGGAUAAAAUAUUCACUUAUUUCACCCCCUUUUUGCUAGUUGACUUUAUUAUGUUGUGAUCAGUAAGAUUAAUUUCUUAAUUGUCGCACACGUUUAAUUACUUAAACGAUAGAACAACUCUUAGCAAUGGAUAUCUUGGUUCUC
This 397-nucleotide unclassified non-coding RNA is filed under the name fungal sp. RNAcentral's name for it is "partial internal transcribed spacer region". The stretch from base 1 to 46 matches the Rfam family "Eukaryotic small subunit ribosomal RNA", at positions 1786 to 1831 of the family's 1831-position model. Lineage: Eukaryota; Fungi. The record is from RNAcentral.